Molecule: ribosomal RNA, 119 nt
Filed under: Pteropus alecto (black flying fox)
Lineage: Eukaryota; Metazoa; Chordata; Mammalia; Chiroptera; Pteropodidae
Source: RNAcentral
GUCUACGGCCAUGCCACCCUGAACAAGCCCGAUCUUGUCUGAUCUCAGAAGCUAAGUAGGGUUGGGCCUGGUUAGUACUUGGAUGGGAGACCACCUAGGAAGACCAGGUGCUGUAGUCG